CUUGCUCUGCUGACGACCGGCGCACGGGUGCGUAACGCGUAUGCAACCUACCUUCUACAGGGGGAUAGUCAAUAGAAAUGUUGAAUAAUACCCCAUACGAUCUUUGAGUGGCAUUACUUAAAGAGGAAAGCUUCGGCGGUAGAAGAUGGGCAUGCGUCCUAUUAGUUAGUUGGUGAGGUAACGGCUCACCAAGACUACGAUAGGUAGGGGCCCUGAGAGGGGGAUCCCCCACACUGGUACUGAGACACGGACCAGACUCCUACGGGAGGCAGCAGUGAGGAAUAUUGGACAAUGGAGGCAACUCUGAUCCAGCCAUGCCGCGUGCAGGAAGACUGCCCUAUGGGUUGUAAACUGCUUUUAUACAGGAAGAAACCUACUCACGUGUAAGUAGCUGACGGUACUGUAAGAAUAAGGAUCGGCUAACUCCGUGCCAGCAGCCGCGGUAAUACGGAGGAUCCAAGCGUUAUCCGGAAUCAUUGGGUUUAAAGGGUCCGUAGGUGGUUUAUUCAGUCA
RNAcentral lists this ribosomal RNA (513 nucleotides) under uncultured Bacteroidota bacterium. Its description in RNAcentral is "bacterial SSU rRNA". It matches the Rfam family "Bacterial small subunit ribosomal RNA", at positions 79 to 590 of the family's 1533-position model. The record is from RNAcentral. Lineage: Bacteria; Pseudomonadati; Bacteroidota.